RNAcentral lists this ribosomal RNA (164 nucleotides) under Parochetus communis (shamrock pea). RNAcentral describes it as "5.8S ribosomal RNA". It matches the Rfam family "5.8S ribosomal RNA". From Rfam's summary of the family: 5.8S ribosomal RNA (5.8S rRNA) is a component of the large subunit of the eukaryotic ribosome. It is transcribed by RNA polymerase I as part of the 45S precursor that also contains 18S and 28S rRNA. The record is from RNAcentral. Lineage: Eukaryota; Viridiplantae; Streptophyta; Magnoliopsida; Fabales; Fabaceae. RNAcentral also lists the same sequence under 1 other name.
AUAAUGACUCUCGGCAACGGAUAUCUAGGCUCUUGCAUCGAUGAAGAACGUAGCGAAAUGCGAUACUUGGUGUGAAUUGCAGAAUCCCGUGAACCAUCGAGUCUUUGAACGCAAGUUGCGCCCGAUGCCAUUAGGUUGAGGGCACGUCUGCUUGGGUGUCACAU